Molecule: transfer RNA, 71 nt
Filed under: Marmota monax (woodchuck)
Lineage: Eukaryota; Metazoa; Chordata; Mammalia; Rodentia; Sciuridae
Description: tRNA.Val
Source: RNAcentral
GGGGAUGUGGCUCAGAGGUACAGUGCUCACCUAACAUGGGUGGGGCCCUGGGUUUGAUCCUCAGCACCACA